RNAcentral lists this ribosomal RNA (766 nucleotides) under uncultured Streptococcus sp. RNAcentral describes it as "bacterial SSU rRNA". It matches the Rfam family "Bacterial small subunit ribosomal RNA", at positions 28 to 776 of the family's 1533-position model. Lineage: Bacteria; Bacillati; Bacillota; Bacilli; Lactobacillales; Streptococcaceae. The record is from RNAcentral.
GAUGAACGCUGGCGGCGUGCCUAAUACAUGCAAGUAGAACGCAGAGGAUUGGUGCUUGCACUAAUCUAAUGAGUUGCGAACGGGUGAGUAACGCGUAGGUAACCUGCCUGGUAGCGGGGGAUAACUAUUGGAAACGAUAGCUAAUACCGCAUAAUAGUUUAUGACUCAUGUUAUAAACUUGAAAGAUACAACUGUAUCACUACCAGAUGGACCUGCGUUGUAUUAGCUAGUAGGUAGGGUAACGGCCUACCUAGGCGACGAUACAUAGCCGACCUGAGAGGGUGAUCGGCCACACUGGGACUGAGACACGGCCCAGACUCCUACGGGGGGCAGCAGUAGGGAAUCUUCGGCAAUGGGGGGAACCCUGACCGAGCAACGCCGCGUGAGUGAAGAAGGUUUUCGGAUCGUAAAGCUCUGUUGUUAAGGAAGAACGGGAGUAGGAGUGGAAAGCCUACUUUGUGACGGUACUUAACCAGAAAGGGACGGCUAACUACGUGCCAGCAGCCGCGGUAAUACGUAGGUCCCGAGCGUUAUCCGGAUUUAUUGGGCGUAAAGCGAGCGCAGGCGGUUAGAUAAGUCUGGAGUAAAAGGCUAUGGCUCAACCAUAGUGUGCUCUGGAAACUGUUUAACUUGAGUGCAGAAUGGGAGAGUGGAAUUCCAUGUGUAGCGGUGAAAUGCGUAGAUAUAUGGAGGAACACCGGUGGCGAAAGCGGCUCUCUGGUCUGUAACUGACGCUGAGGCUCGAAAGCGUGGGGGAGCGAACAGG